UUCCUCUUAGUAAAAGAGGUAAGACCUGCUCACUGAGAUUUUAAAGAGCCGCAGUAUCCUGACUGUGCUAAGGUAGCAUAAUCAUUAGUCUUUUAAUUGGAGACUGGUAUGAAUGGUUAAACGAGAAAUCAGCUUUUUUAGUUGUAAAACUUGAAUUUAACUUUUUAGUGAAAAGGCUAAAAUUAUUCAAAAAGACGAGAAGACCCUAUAGAGUUUUAUAAUUAAUGGAAUAUUUCUUUUUUAGAUUUUUAUAAGAGGUAUUUAUAAAGUUAUUUUGUUGGGGCGACAUUUAGAUAUAUAAAACUCUUUAUUUUCAAAACUUUAAUGAAAGAUGAAUAUGAUCCUUUAAAAAAGAUCAUAAGAAAAAAUUACCUUAGGGAUAACAGCGUAAUCUUUUUUGAGAGUUCUAAUCGACAAAAAGGUUUGCGACCUCGAUGUUGGACUAAAAUUAAGGCAGGGUGCAGCAGUUUUGCUAUAAGGUCUGUUCGACCUAUAAUUUUUUACGUGAU
Molecule: ribosomal RNA, 509 nt
Filed under: Chelonibia testudinaria
Lineage: Eukaryota; Metazoa; Arthropoda; Thecostraca; Balanomorpha; Chelonibiidae
Description: partial 16S ribosomal RNA
Rfam family: Bacterial large subunit ribosomal RNA
Source: RNAcentral